AGUUCUGUUCAGAGGAUAGCAACUUCCAAAAAAAUCUAUCUUUAUUUGCUAUCUUUGUUGUUUCAUUUCACCUUCAACAUCUUUCUUCAGUUUGGGUUUUGUGGCUAUCUUUCUUCUGGAUUAGUUUCAUUAUAGUUCAACGUCUCCCCCACCAGACGUUGGAAUGAAGAAUCGAUUUUGAGGCUUUAAUCACACCUUUCUGAUCCCGAACUACUAGUCCUGACGUCGAUCUGGAAUUUAUAAUAUCAAAAGCUGCGUCGAACUGUAUUAUCUCCCUCAUUGACUCCCCUCCCUGUCCUUGAGUUCUAGCAGACGUAAAGGUAAGCUUUUUUUCACGCACUCCUUCAAGUUCCAAUAAGUAGCUCUGUAUUUUGUGUGAAAGGUCCCUUCCUGAAGUGAUUUUCCUCUCAUGAACCAUCUGAUUCCGUGAGCCCCAAAUAACCCAUAAGGUGCAGCAGAACAUUCAGAUCUGCUCCUUUGUACCCCUUCCAAAAACCCAUGACAUUGCCGAAACACGUGGUAGCUGUCUUCUUCUUCGGAGCAGCAUCGAGGACAACUAGCAUUUGUAAUCACUCUCUUGUAUCUAAGAUUAACUAGCGUAGGGAUAUAGUUCCAGAAAAUCUGCCAUAUAAGAAUUAAAAUUUUUUAUGGUAGUUGUAAAUUCCAUAACUUCCUCUAGAAUUUUUUAGUUUCGGCCUGUACUAAAUAACUACUAGGAUCCAAGCUAGCAUCUUGUAAUAGUUUGUAGGCGUUUCAUACUGAAAACUCGCCAGAGUGUUAACCUUUCUACACUUGCAUGUCUUCACAGUCUGUUAUCGCAAGAGGAAUCUGCAAUACUCUUUGAGCAA
Molecule: long non-coding RNA, 848 nt
Organism: Gossypium raimondii (Peruvian cotton)
Lineage: Eukaryota; Viridiplantae; Streptophyta; Magnoliopsida; Malvales; Malvaceae
Exons: 3
Source: RefSeq, a predicted model, not a curated record